Molecule: microRNA, 24 nt
Filed under: Pristionchus pacificus
Lineage: Eukaryota; Metazoa; Nematoda; Chromadorea; Rhabditida; Neodiplogasteridae
Description: ppc-miR-8290-5p
Source: miRBase by way of RNAcentral
ACUGGUUUCUUGACACCUCACUUC